UCGACGCAUAGGGAACUCCCCUCAGCCCAAUACGGGGGGCCGAGAAGCGACACGAGCUGCCAUCUCAUGCACCUGGCUAUGCUCAUCAUUCAUGACAACAUACAUCAAAGACAGAGAUCGAUGGAGAAGAGUAUUACUUCACGAGACGAGAGUACUAGACUAUCGAUGGUGAUAAGCUUAGCCUAGUGCAUGGUGUGGGAGCAACUCCAUUCGCUUUACUUCGCCCGCCCAUUGGACUGAAGGGAGCUCCUGAUCUUACUCUA
Molecule: microRNA precursor, 263 nt
Filed under: Punica granatum (pomegranate)
Lineage: Eukaryota; Viridiplantae; Streptophyta; Magnoliopsida; Myrtales; Lythraceae
Description: MIR159 microRNA precursor family
Rfam family: MIR159 microRNA precursor family
Source: Rfam by way of RNAcentral